UUGAUUUCAAGAUUUUAUAAGAAGAGCCAGUGGGCUCCCAGACAAAGUUAAAAAGAAAAUAUCCUUCUCAGAAACGUCAGUGUCCUUUACGUAUGCUGUCUGGUGUGCGAUUGAA
Miniopterus natalensis is the source of this 115-nucleotide non-coding RNA. The record is from RefSeq and is a predicted model, not a curated record. Lineage: Eukaryota; Metazoa; Chordata; Mammalia; Chiroptera; Miniopteridae.